This is a non-coding RNA of Schistosoma haematobium, 70 nucleotides long. The record is from Rfam. NCBI's taxonomy places the organism in Eukaryota, Metazoa, Platyhelminthes, Trematoda, Strigeidida, Schistosomatidae.
AGCCUUCUAAAUUCGCGCCGAGGUUUCGUCAGACAUUAGAACUGACGAGAUUCCAAAGAUAUGUGAGGCG